AUUGGACGACGACAAAAGGGAGGAGUCCCUUAGUGAUGAAAAAAUGGUGAGUUUUUCCGUCACAAUGUUUGUGCAGAGAAACUGAAAUUGGCUUUUUGGAAAUCACAAUUUCAUGAAAUUAAGCUCAAACUUGGGAUCAUCAAUCAAAUUCAUUACAGAUUUCAGUCAAACACCAUUAAACAAACAGAUUCACAGCUCAAAUUUCUUUAAAAUAGCCAUCAGAUCUAUUGAAAUCGAUCAAUUUCAGUAUCAUUUUAUUAAAAAGCAGUUCCCUUUCAUCGUCGGCCUUCACUGCUGCCAUAGUAAUGUGGUUUAUUACAACCUUGGUUUCGAUGUGAUUCUGUAUUGCGAGAUCUCUGCAUCUAGAGUUCGAUUGCUCAGAGAGAAAUGGGUUCGAUUUAUCGAAAGGUGUGGACUGGAUUUAAGCCAAGUAAUCAGCGAGAAGAGCCAGGAGAUGCACGUGCUAAUUAAUUCGAGUUCCUACAACAACGAGAGUGGAUCUGUGGUGUUUUGGGGUCGAUUGUUUUGACCUAAAAUAGGUGUUGAAUAGCGAGUAGAUGGGUUUGCUGCUGAUGGAGAUGUUCAUGAUUUCAACACUUCUCAAUCUCAACUGAGCUCGAAUUUUCUCUCACCAUCAACAACAACAUUAGUACAUGGAGGCUUUGUUGAGCCGAAAUUCAGGUGAAAACGAGUUAGUCAGUGGCUGGUUGCAAUGGGUUUAGUGUCGGUGGUUAAUUGCGAGCAUCAAAGAAGUAAUGGAGACUGAUUUGAAGUCUGCCAUAAAAUCUAAGCUAGGGUUUUAGUGAUGGAUCUGUAGGGUACUAAUGUGUUCUGAAAAUUAGUGUUGCUGCCAUGAAAUGUUCACUGUAUGCGAAAGAUUGAGAGAAGGGUACCGCAGUUGAAAUCAAUUGUGAACUGGCCAUUGUUUAAAGAUCAGAUUGGGGGUUCUUCGCAUCAAUUCAAGUUGGGAGUUCUCAUGUGGGUUUUUUCUGGAAUGCUUAUAUGAUGGUGAUGUAUUUAGGCUGCUGGUAUCAAUUGAAUCAGAAUAAGUAGAAGACCUAUUCAUUACAAGCGGAUGGUGGUGGUUGUCUACAGAUGUGAAUGAGAACAGAUUUGGGGCUAAACAGUUCGUGGGAUAUUGCACAUCAACUGUUUACUGCCAUCAAUUCAUGGCUGUAUGGAGCUCGGUUGGGAGCUGAUUAAGCUAAAGAAUUGCAGUCAGUGGUGGCAAUGUACAGUUGUAGCCGAGAAUGGAGAUGAAAUCGAACUGAAACAACAACAAUGGAGUUGGGGGUUUUCUGUGGUGUCUUGGGUGAUUGCUGGAGUAAGUAGUGUUGCAGCCAAGAAGCUGGUGGAUGGUUGAAUUGGUGUUGCUGGUAGAAGGGAGAAGAGGUACUGUGCUAUGUAUAUAUGUUGGCUGAUUUGAAUUUGUGCUGGUGAUGAUUGUUUGGGUUUUUGCCAAAAUUUGGAGUUGGUCUGGAGAUGCAAUGAAGAAUGAAUUGGCUGCAAGCAAUGUGCUUAUGAUGUUGGGGUCAGUUUAACAAGGAAGUGGAGAUUUAGAAGCACAGAAGAUGGGCUGCCGUGGUUGGAUGAAGCUUAAGUAGAUGAUCAAAAAAUGAUAGUUGGGGCAGAGAUUAAGAAGUGGUGCCCAGGCAGACAGAAUAUGGAGUUGCUUACUGUGGCCGAACCUUGGAGAGGGCCUGGAUUUGGCAAUUGGUGUUCAUGGCCCGGCUGGACUUUGGUCGUUGUUGUCACCAAUACAAGAAAAGAACUAGAGUGCUAUAUAAGGAAGGAAUGAGGAGAAGAAAAGGGAGGCCGGAUACAGGGAAGAAAAUGAGGUUUUAGCCAUUUUGAUUUCUGCUAUCAUAUGCUUAGGUUAACAAUCUCUAUAUCAUUUUUUAUGGCUUUGAACGAAACCAUGUCUAGCUAAGCUACUCAUUAGGGUGAAGGAUGAACUUGUAGGUUAAAGUGCUUGUGUUCUUAAACAAUGGUUUCAAAAAUAAGAUCUUAAAUUCCAUGUUUGUGUUUCUCAAAAGAGGCUGAUUGUUUUAUGGGUUUUUCAUGUUUUAUGCCUUGUAUACUACAUAGUUGGAUUCUAGAACAUUAGUCCAUAUAUAACCUUGAUAACAAUUGCUUUAUGAUCAUUUCCAAGACUAUGUAUGCCAUGUAUGCUUAGUACUAGGGAUGUCUACCUUCUAGGUUGAGAACAAACAAUCUUUUAUGAUAACUUGUCUAUAAAUCCUAAACGAAAUAUCUUCCGUGUGUUAGUAGCUAGGUUUGCAACUUCGCACGAGUAAAUUCGAGACCUUGUGAUAGAACAUAAGUAAAUAUAGCUUAUAACGGAUUAUGUAGCCCUAAUACUCCCUUAUUCUCGAUUACAAUCUUUAUAAAUUUGUUUUAUAUUGCUAGUUAGAUUAUUUUCUUAGUACAACAAUCUCUGAAAUAUUGCAUCUUGAUUAGUUAGGUCUUGAUAUUAAUUAGUAGUAGUUUUCGCACUCCUUGAGGGAACGAACCGUGCUUGCUUUUGUGUGCUAUUUUUGACUCCGUACACUUGCGGUAAAACAAAGUCGGUCUACCGACCCAUCAAGUUUUUGGCGCCGCUGCCGGGGAGUGGCUGUAAAGUACUCUCUGAUUGAUAUCAUUGAUUUUCUAGUCGUAGAUUAGUUUUUAUUUUCUGUACAUAGUUUAUUUUCGUUUUUCUUUUAGAUUUCUUUUAAUUCCAUUUUACGUAGCUUGUUUGAUUAUCUUUAGGUACCUUAGUUUGAAGAGCGCAGUUGGAAUCUCUCCAAAACAGGCAGAAAAGUAAGUAUCUGAAAUCCUCGCGAGGCUUUGCAAGGUGAAUUUGAACUGAAUUAUGCAUUUUUUUAGCAUAUGCAAGAUCUACCAAGUAGUUGGGAUAGAAAACAAUUAUUCAUCUUGUUAAAGUAACCGUUUAUACAUGAUGAGAACAGAUGAUGAGGGUACGAACCCUCCGGUUAAAAGUUUGAGAGACUAUAUGUACCCUACUAGAGUCUCUCAACUUUCUUGUAUUAUUUUGCCUACCGCCACAACAACCUAUGAAAUUAGAGCAAGCGCCAUUCAAGCACUUCCUAAUUUCUAUGGUAAGGAGAAUGAAAAUCCUUACUACCACAUUAGAGAUUUUGAAGAAUUGUGUGGUAGAAUGAAGUUCAAGGACUUAUCUGAUGAGUUUCUUAAACUUAGGUUGUUUCCUUUGUCUUUGAAGGAUAAGGCAAAAUCUUGGCUGAAUGCAUUAUCUCCUUCAUCAAUUAGUACUUGGAAUGACAUGAUUAAUAUAUUCUUGCAUAAAUUCUUUCCUAGGCAUAAAACUACUGCCAUUCGUCAAAAAUUAUAUAGUUUUUCGCAACAAGAAGGAGAAUGUCUUUAUGAUUAUUUAGAGAGGUUUCAUGAUCUCUUGUUACAAUGUCCACACCAUGGAUUGGAUACUCCUAGGCUCAUAUCGAUCCUUUAUGAGGGAUUAGAUUACAAAACAGUGACUACGGUAGAAUCACUUUGUAGUGGGAAUUUCCUUGAUAAGAGUGCCGAAGAAGGUUACAAAAUUUUGCAUGAAAUAGCUGGAAAAAUCCAAGAGUGGGAGGCUAGAGAACCCAUAAGAUCAGUAGCUAGUAGUGAAGGGGUUCACAUAGUUGAUAAUGAAUUCGACUAUGAGGCCAAGUUUUCCAUUUUGACACGACGACUUGAGUCGUUAGAAAGAAAUGCUAAAGUCAAGCCUGUUGAGUGUAUUACGCAUGCAUCUUCUAUUCCUAGUGAUUGUACUAAUCAAAGAAUUCCUAGUUUGGAAGAAAGUAUGAGUUUGUUUAUGCAGGCUACUCAAAGAUAUAUGGUGAACUUACAGCAACAGCUAAAUGAGCUAGCCAACCAACUGAAUGAGCGAGACAAGGAUCAGUUCCAGAGUCAAAUACAGCCUCACCCUAAAGGUUCUUUUGAGGUAAGCACAUCUGGUGCUAAGCCAACUCAUCAUGUCCAGGCCGUCACUACUCUCAGAAGUGGAUGAGUCAUUGAUAAUCAUGUUAGUGAUGCUGAGGAGAAUGUGCAAGAUAGGAACCUGCCUACCAUUACACAGGUUACUCCUUCAACACAAACAGAAACCGAUGAAACCGAAAAAGGUAAUUCUGAAAUUUCUUAUGUUCCUCGCGCUCCUUUUCCUCAAGCAUUACUACCUCGUAAAAAAGGAGUCAGUUCUAAUGACAUCUUAGAAGUGUUUAAACAAGUUAACGUCAACAUUCCAAUCUUAGGUGUCAUUAAACAAAUUCCUUCUUAUGCUAAGUUUCUAAGAGAUAUGUGCACUGUGAAACGAAAAUUGAAUGUGCAUAAGAAAGCUUUCCUUACUGAACAGGUGAGCUCGAUUAUUACACAGAAAACUCCACCCAAAUUUAAAGAUCCAGGUUGUCCUACGAUUGCUUGCACUAUAGGUGAACAUAGGAUUGAACAUGCAUUGUUAGAUUUAGGGGCCAGUGUGAAUCUCUUGCCAUAUUCUGUAUAUGUGCAAUUAGAACUUGGUGAUUUGAAACCCACUAAUGUCACUCUCCAAUUGGCUGAUAGGUGAAUUAAAAUUCCUAGGGGAGUGGUAGAGGAUAUUCUUAUACAGGUUCAAAGUUUUGUUUAUCCCGUUGAUUUAAUUGUUUUAGAUACUCAACCUGUUUCUAAUCCUAGUGGGAAGAUUCUUGUCAUCUUAGGUAGACCUUUUUUGGCUACCUCGAAUGCGGUUAUCAACUGUCGCAAUGGAAUCAUGGAGCUUACUUUUGGAAAUAUGAAAAUGGAGAUAAAUGUUUAUCCUUUCAAAUUCGUCUGUGAUUUCUGAAACUUGUGAAGAUGUAUGCAUGGUUAAUGGUGUGAAUGAUUAUACUCACUGUUAUAAUGAGAAUCUCGAAAACAUGUCUGAAAACUUUGCAGGUUGUAAGGAGUUAACAAAAAUUGAAUCAUCAGAUAUUUGCUCAUCUUGUUUUGCCAAGCCUGAUGAACUAGUUUUUCGUGAGACUAGUAGUAGUUAUCAAGAUGCUUAUAUAAGUGUGAAACAUAUGGAUACUGGUCAGUUAAUUCACAAUAAGAAAUUAGAACCAAGAAUUGUUUGCUUAGCUCCUUUUGCCAAGUCCUAUGAUCUUGUGCUUAUUGACAUUGUUAGUACAUUGCUCCCUCUUAAUCUAAAACCCAAUUGGGAGUCUCCACUGGGAAUCAAAAUUGGUAAACAUUCUGAACUUAUUGUUUAUGGGAGUGAGUUAUUUAUGGAUUCACAUAUCUUUUUGGGUGUUUAUAGUGUUUGCAGGUUCAUAGUUGCAGCUGAACUUGUGUGUUGGGUUGAUCCCCAGCUUUUCAGGCUUUACAUAUAUGCUGGCAGGUUGCUGUUAUGCAUCAUUAUUCACUUCGUUUGAGAUUACUUGUUGCGCGCAAGCAGGGAACAUACAUCAUUCGCUUUGUGGGAGUCAAACCAUCACUGUGGAGCGGGUCUAUUUUUUUUGUUUU
This is an RNA transcript of Papaver somniferum (opium poppy), 5478 nucleotides long. RefSeq lists it as uncharacterized. Lineage: Eukaryota; Viridiplantae; Streptophyta; Magnoliopsida; Ranunculales; Papaveraceae. The transcript has 2 exons. The record is from RefSeq and is a predicted model, not a curated record.